RNAcentral lists this ribosomal RNA (572 nucleotides) under uncultured bacterium. RNAcentral describes it as "bacterial SSU rRNA". It matches the Rfam family "Bacterial small subunit ribosomal RNA", at positions 102 to 694 of the family's 1533-position model. The record is from RNAcentral.
ACGGGUGAGUAACGCGUGGGCAAUCUGCCCUCUAGCCUGGGAUAACAGUUCGAAAGGACUGCUAACACCGGAUAUUAUGAUUCCGAGGCAUCUUGGGAUUAUGAAAGUUUACACUAGAGGAUGAGCCCGCGUCCCAUUAGCUAGUUGGUGAGGUAACGGCCCACCAAGGCGACGAUGGGUAGCCGACCUGAGAGGGUGAACGGCCACACUGGGACUGAGACACGGCCCAGACUCCUACGGGAGGCAGCAGUAGGGAAUUUUCCGCAAUGGGCGAAAGCCUGACGGAGCAACGCCGCGUGAGGGAUGAAGGUCUUCGGAUCGUAAACCUUUGUCUAGAGGGACGAUAAUGACGGUACCUCUGGAGGAAGCCACGGCUAACUACGUGCCAGCAGCCGCGGUAAUACGUAGGUGGCAAGCGUUGUCCGGAAUUACUGGGCGUAAAGGGCGUGUAGGCGGCUUUUUAAGUUAGACGUGAAAUCUCUGGGCUUAACCUAGAAAUUGCGUUUAAAACUGGAAGGCUUGAGGAUCGGAGAGGGCAGUGGAAUUCCCAGUGUAGCGGUGAAAUGCGUAGA